CCUCCCUAGCCAAGCCAAGUCACAAAGGACCCUGGACCCUGAAAAGUCUGCAGAGGUGGGAGGCAGUGACAUCCUGGGGAGACCCAUUUGUCCACUGAAGACCUUCCAGGCUCCCUCUCCCAGUCCUAAAGAUGAGAGCAUUUUGCUGCCCUUCUCACUCUGCCCCUGCCAUGAGCCUCAGCCUCUUUUGUGUGAUUCUUUGUUUCUUGGGAGCAGGCCCUGUGGAUGCUGCAAUCACCCAGACGCCAAGACACCAUAUUAUACAAACAGGAACCAAGAUGGUCCUGGAAUGUUCUCAGGAUAUGAACCAUUUUGCUAUGUACUGGUAUCGACAAGACCCAGGACAGGGGCUGGGGCUGAUCCAUUAUUCAAGUGGUACCGGCAGCACUGCUGAAGGGGAUGUGACAGAAGGGUACAGCGUCUCUCGAGACAAGAAGGAGCAUUUCCCCCUGACCCUGGAGUCCGCCGGCACCAACCAGACGUCUCUGUACUUGUGUGCCAGCCGUGAAUCCACAGCCCUGCACAGACAGCUGCUCUCUGCACAGAAAGCUCCGCCACAGGCACGAAGGAAAUUCCUGCCUGAGGCGUCGCCUCAAGAGGGGGAAUAACUGCCCUGAAGCGGCUUUCGUGUGACUUCCCAGCAACGUGAUCUCAGGCCGUGGGGCUUUCCAUCGGGUCACCCAUGGUGUGAACUGAGCUCCAUCACUACAGGCGGGGUGUGUAAGUAGAAGCAAAUAGCACGUAAUGUUAUUCCACUCAAUCUGGAAUAUCCUGGUAAUCGAGUCAAGCACAGACACAGUAGCAUCUAACAUGAAAUUUAUAUCUCACUGUCUUUUCAGUGCAGAGGAACAAAGCAGAAAGCAGUGAAGCAACUUGAAACUCCCUGAGAGUCAGGGACUCUCCAGAUCUAAAAUGAUUACAUAAAAUCUUGGGCUUCAGAAACA
Suricata suricatta (meerkat) is the source of this 944-nucleotide non-coding RNA. Lineage: Eukaryota; Metazoa; Chordata; Mammalia; Carnivora; Herpestidae. The record is from the annotation of a RefSeq genome assembly.